CCUGCGGUUGCUGUACUCCUCCUGCGGUUCCUCCUGAAACCACAAGCACCCAUCAUUAUUCCAUAUUAAUCCACGUAUCACACGCAACAACAACAUUGAAAAUAAUAUUCAUUUCUCUUUUAGCAAAUCUUUUCUUUCUCAUCACUUACAUUCCCCAUUAUUAUCCUUUAACUUUUCAGCUCAUUAGUAGUCCAAGUGGACAUCAUAAAUUCAAUUUUUUAUUACAUUUUAUUCUUUUUGAAGAUCAAGACACACUUUAUGAAAGGCAAGAAAACAAAUUCUACCCUUGAUAUGGCUAAAUUUCGCCGUUUUAUCAACUUGGCCGAAUCUGCCAACAAAGGGUGGCAGCUCGACCUCUCCUCAGUGUUUUAUUUAUAUCUGGAGUUCUAGGACUCCAAAUUAGGCGAGGUCAGAUUCGUUGGAAACUUAACACUCCUAGAUACACUUCUAUGAGGGGACCCUCCCUGAAUUUUGUAGUUUUCAGGUCCAAAAUCCCCCCAGGAAACAGGGCAACGAACCUGCCCUGUUUUGCUAAUGGAGAAGGUAUCUCCAAUUCAUUUUAAAUCCCUGCUUCCUCAUCAGUCACAGCCAUGCCUUCCCUUUAUUCAUGGCAUUCCCGUCUCAUUUUAUGUCCUCUUAAGGUCACUGGUACCAAAUGAAUUAAUUAAGCACAUCACAACUUCUCAUUUCCUCUCUGCAGUAUCCAGCAGAGAACGUGGCCAAGGGAACCAAGAGUUCCCGAUGAUUAUUUCUGUCAAAUGGAGGAUGUUACUUCCAAUCCCUCCGGUCAGUUAGUAGAUAAGUGUAAUGAGAACAACAUAUCCAAAAUUUAGCAUGAUCCAACGGUGGAGUCCUGAGAUAUGGCCACCGGAGUAUUAUUGGUUUUACUCCAAAAUCUGCAGCUCUAUCUAUCCGUUUUUCUCUUCUUCUUUUUUCUUUAAGGCACUUAGAUUAUUCUAAUCCAUUUAACCUCACUCAUUUCUGCAUUUUCCCAACAUUUUAUGUUAAAGAACCCUAAUUCCCAAUUCAAGAAAGGCAUAAACUUAUAAUCAAAUUGAAGUUGAUUUCAUAGAAAUUGGAAUUAGAACUCCUUACUUGGAUGGAAAUCUAAACUUUACUUCACAAAUUUUAGAAGAAUCUUAGCCUUCUUCUCCUUGUAUGUUGUCAGCCACUUUUCCCUUCUCUUUUCUUCACCAAUUCUUCACUUUUCUUCUUGUUAAUUCUUCCACCUGAUUGUGCUCCUCCACUUAAUAAUUCCAAGGCUUAUUUGGGUUUACUGAUUUUAGGUGUUUACU
Molecule: long non-coding RNA, 1295 nt
Filed under: Populus tremula
Lineage: Eukaryota; Viridiplantae; Streptophyta; Magnoliopsida; Malpighiales; Salicaceae
Description: long non-coding RNA (PTRE_LNC001012)
Source: RNAcentral